This 374-nucleotide transfer-messenger RNA is filed under the name Gammaproteobacteria (g-proteobacteria). RNAcentral describes it as "JABDQX01 sp013042035 Standard tmRNA". It matches the Rfam family "transfer-messenger RNA". Rfam says of the family: Bacterial tmRNA, also known as 10Sa RNA or SsrA, is named for its dual tRNA and mRNA-like properties. Its role is to liberate the mRNA from a stalled ribosome. Lineage: Bacteria; Pseudomonadati; Pseudomonadota. The record is from RNAcentral. RNAcentral also lists the same sequence under 1 other name.
GGGGGCGAUGUGGCUUCGACGUGGGUGGUGAAACCCGAGGUGCAUGCCGAGGUACAGUCAACCUCGUAAAAAAGGCUGAAAAAAAUAGUUGCCAACGACGACAACUACGCUCUGGCUGCUUGACGGCCAGCCUCUUACCGGAUUGUGCUUGUGCGAUCCGGAGCUUUGUAUCAUGCAGGGCGCUUAAGGGGUAACUUCACACAAGAUCGCAAUAAAGCUCUGUCCGGGGUGGAGUUGCUAAAACUUUUAGGACUCGCCGUGCGUUUUCCCUGUCUGCCGGGUGGCGAACGGUUAAAAAAUAAAGGCAAACUAAGCAUGUAGGACCAAAGGCGGAAUGCUUGCGGACGCGGGUUCGAUUCCCGCCGCCUCCACCA